GACGAACCGUGCAAACGUUAUUCGGAAUCACUGGGCUUAAAGGGCGCGUAGGCGGUCGAUCAAGUCAGGGGUGAAAUCCUGCAGCUUAACUGUAGAAGUGCCUUUGAUACUGGUCGUCUCGAGGGAGGUAGGGGUGUGUGGAACUUCCAGUGGAGCGGUGAAAUGCGUUGAUAUUGGAAGGAACGCCGGAGGCGAAAGCGACGCACUGGACCUCUUCUGACGCUGAGGCGCGAAAGCUAGGGGAGCAAACGGG
This 253-nucleotide ribosomal RNA is filed under the name uncultured bacterium. Its description in RNAcentral is "partial 16S ribosomal RNA". It matches the Rfam family "Bacterial small subunit ribosomal RNA", at positions 524 to 776 of the family's 1533-position model. The record is from RNAcentral.